RNAcentral lists this ribosomal RNA (1527 nucleotides) under uncultured bacterium. Its description in RNAcentral is "bacterial SSU rRNA". It matches the Rfam family "Bacterial small subunit ribosomal RNA". The record is from RNAcentral.
AGAGUUUGAUCCUGGCUCAGGACGAACGCUGGCGGCGUGCCUAAUACAUGCAAGUCGAGCGAGCGGAACCAACAGAUUUACUUCGGUAAUGACGUUGGGAAAGCGAGCGGCGGAUGGGUGAGUAACACGUGGGGAACCUGCCCCUAAGUCUGUGAUACCAUUUGGAAACAGGUGCUAAUACCGGAUAAUAAAGCAGAUCGCAUGAUCAGCUUUUGAAAGGCGGCGUAAGCUGUCGCUAAGGGAUGGCCCCGCGGUGCAUUAGCUAGUUGGUAAGGUAACGGCUUACCAAGGCGACGAUGCAUAGCCGAGUUGAGAGACUGAUCGGCCACAUUGGGACUGAGACACGGCCCAAACUCCUACGGGAGGCAGCAGUAGGGAAUCUUCCACAAUGGACGCAAGUCUGAUGGAGCAACGCCGCGUGAGUGAAGAAGGUUUUCGGAUCGUAAAGCUCUGUUGUUGGUGAAGAAGGAUAGAGGUAGUAACUGGCCUUUAUUUGACGGUAAUCAACCAGAAAGUCACGGCUAACUACGUGCCAGCAGCCGCGGUAAUACGUAGGUGGCAAGCGUUGUCCGGAUUUAUUGGGCGUAAAGCGAGCGCAGGCGGAAAAAUAAGUCUAAUGUGAAAGCCCUCGGCUUAACCGAGGGACUGCAUCGGAAACUGUUUUUCUUGAGUGCAGAAGAGGAGAGUGGAACUCCAUGUGUAGUGGUGGAAUGCGUAGAUAUAUGGAAGAAACACCAGUUGGCGAAGGCGGCUCUCUGGUCCUGCAACUGAACGCUGAGGCUCGAAUGCAUGGUAGCGAACAGGAUAGAUACCCUGGUAGUCAUGCCGUAAUCGAUGAGUGCUAAGUGUUCGGAGGUUUCCGCCUUCUCAGUGCUGCAGCUAACGCAUUAAGCACUCCGCCUGGGGAGUACGACCGCAAGGUUGAAACUCAAAGGAAUUGACGGGGGCCCGCACAAGCGGUGGAGCAUGUGGUUUAAUUCGAAGCAACGCGAAGAACCUUACCAGGUCUUGACAUCUUUUGCCAGGCUGAGAGAUCAGCUGUUCCCUUCGGGGACAAAAUGACAGGUGGUGCAUGGUUGUCGUCAGCUCGUGUCGUGAGAUGUUGGGUUAAGUCCCGCAACGAGCGCAACCCUUAUUGUCAGUUGCCAGCACUUAGUUGGGCACUCUGAUAAGACUGCCGGUGACAAACCGGAGGAAGGUGGGGAUGACGUCAAAUCAUCAUGCCCCUUAUGACCUGGGCUACACACGUGCUACAAUGGGCGGUACAACGAGUCGCGAGACCGCGAGGUCAAGCCAAUCUCUUAAAACCGCUCUCAGUUCGGAUUGCAGGCUGCAACCCGCCUGCAUGAAGUCGGAAUCGCUAGUAAUCGCGGAUCAGCAUGCCGCGGUGAAUACGUUCCCGGGCCUUGUACACACCGCCCGUCACACCAUGAGAGUUUGUAACACCCAAAGCCGGUGGGGUAACCGCAAGGGACCAGCCGUCUAAGGUGGGACAGAUGAUUGGGGUGAAGUCGUAACAAGGUAACC